Molecule: long non-coding RNA, 253 nt
Organism: Lacerta agilis (Sand lizard)
Lineage: Eukaryota; Metazoa; Chordata; Lepidosauria; Squamata; Lacertidae
Exons: 3
Source: RefSeq, a predicted model, not a curated record
UACCCACCAUCUUCCAGGCAAUGCCCAGAAUGUUCCAGCCAAUGCCCAACACCUUCCAGCCAAGAACUUAGAGCAGACAUCUGAGGUAGACCAGCAUGUCAGUAAAUAUAGAGGACCUCCACUUUAUGAAAAAUACAUCCCAGAUAUCGAGUGCUAUAAUGCCAUACUAAAGCCACGAGUCAGCCUAAGCUUUCCGCUGGACUUUCCAAAGCCAGUACGACCUGGUACCAAAACAAGAUCAAGGCCUUCUGCU